AAACAGAUGUAUGGUAAAAUAGGAUAUGCAAGCAUGUAGAUUUUGGCCUGUAUUCAUGCGGUUUGUUUAGCUUGAAGAAUUGAUUUCACAAAAGUAUGGUUUAAUUUCAAAUGAUGUCGGGUUGAUGUGCUAAGAUCGGGAAAUGGGUGAGUGAGAAAAGGAAGUUAUGGUAAUUUUAUGAUCGAUUAGUUUGGAAACGUGUUUUAUGGGCGCAUUGUAUAUUUCUUAAAUUAUAAAUUUUUUCUAUUCUAUAUUAACUGAACUGAGAAAGUGGAUUCAUUGUGCACAGCUUCCCGUAGAGGUAUAAUGUGCACAAAUCGGAAGUAUGACUAGGAGAGUGAAAUAGAUAAGGAGGUUACUGAAAUUAGAAUACUUUCGUCCAAUAUACUUAGGAGUGCAAGUCUAAGGUCGAAGAAAGGCUGGAAGUGAAACAAGUCCCUUGCUUACAAAAAAAAAAAAAUGGGAGAUGCAAACAAUCUAAGGACCGACAAACCGUAGGUAUGGACGGCGUGUAAAGGCAAUCCGUAGGAAUGUGUGAAAUAGAAUAUGAUACGUUUAAUAAAAGUCCUUCUUUUCCUCUACAUCACAAAUUUCAAGCAAAACGAAGUAAUAAUAAUAAGGAAUUUUUUCUUUCGUUGGUCUGACUAAUUUUUUAGGUUCGAUAUAAACACUACGAUUUCCAUGCAUGUUUUAAUUCAGCGGAUGAAGAUAUAACCCAUACGUUGUUGUUUCCCAUCGCUCACUCUACAUUCGCUUAAAUAAACUACUACCAUUUGACUCGUCAAACAAAGAUUGAAGGUGGUAUUCACAAGCUUGUUUUAUGUUGAAUUCAAUUUUUAGUUGGUAAAAGUACUUUAAGCAUAAAUGCCAUUAACUGCUGUUCAUGAAAGAGGGGACGUUAUAGGUGGCAGAAUUAAAUUUCACUAUAUAGAGAACUAUAGUGUUUUUUGGUCAUCAUCAGUAAGUGCAGAAACAGCAUCAACUUAGUAAACAAAAUAGUUACUUAGAUUUCGCUUUAUUCUUUAUUUCCCUCUCCAAGACUUCACAAAGUCCUCGAAAAUUCACGAUGCUGAUAGCUUCAGCUUUUCAGCACCAUUUUUUCUUACUUGAGGGCGAGUUGAUUAAAUUCAUCCUCUGCAAAUCCUUCUUCUUUUAUCUUUUCUCUCUAGAACGUUUGAAAAAUUAGUUACACACGUCCAAUUCCCUUAGUUGGAAUUCAUACCUGUUGAAACUCUUGCAAUGCUGCUAAACGCCGUUGCCUAUGAGAAUAAUAAGAUUGGCCAAGAAGAACAGUGCCUCCAACAGUGCCGAAAAUUAGAAUCGAUACCGAUCCCUUUUGUACAAUGUCGUAAAUUCGAUUUCUGUUCAUAACACUGAC
Molecule: non-coding RNA, 1378 nt
Organism: Schizosaccharomyces pombe (fission yeast)
Lineage: Eukaryota; Fungi; Ascomycota; Schizosaccharomycetes; Schizosaccharomycetales; Schizosaccharomycetaceae
Source: the annotation of a GenBank genome assembly